CCAACAUAGGCACAGACGGCAAUAAAUCAGGGAAUAGCUGCUUCAGAAAGCUUGCAAAGAACUCUGUGGGGUGGGCACCUUCAAUUGAUUCUUCAAGACCCAGAAUAUGUAGAUUGUUCCUUCUGUUUCUGCUUUCCAGUUGCAGAUGUCAGAACAUAUUCCAAGAGGGUGAACCCUUGUACCGUGUCAGGCCCUGAUGGUGUACUUGGUAGGGUUCUGAAAAUAUGUGCCAACCAACUGGUGGGAGCGUGCAAGGACAUCUUCAAUCUCUCACUGCUGCAGUCGGAGGUUCCCACCUGUUUCAAAAGGGUAACAGUCACACCAAGAAGAGCAGGGUCUGAAUCCUACCCAGAUUUGAUGCGGAGCUGAUGGGCAGGAGACCACCACCUGGAGUCAAAAGGAUUAAUCCUCAACUCUAAAUUUAGGGAGUAUGUGGUUAAGAGAUGAUUACUGAUGGUUAGAAGAACAAGAAGAAAAUCAAGAGUUCCUCCCUGGACUGGGUAGAAAUAAACAAGCCUUACAGUGAUUCGAAAGAACACGCUAACAUUUAAAAGAUGAACCUAGUUAAUUUUAUAUAUUUUUCAACAAAAAUUUAAUAAA
Mobula hypostoma (lesser devil ray) is the source of this 600-nucleotide long non-coding RNA. RefSeq lists it as uncharacterized. Lineage: Eukaryota; Metazoa; Chordata; Chondrichthyes; Myliobatiformes; Myliobatidae. The transcript is spliced from 3 exons. The record is from RefSeq and is a predicted model, not a curated record.